Molecule: ribosomal RNA, 450 nt
Filed under: uncultured cyanobacterium
Lineage: Bacteria; Bacillati; Cyanobacteriota
Description: bacterial SSU rRNA
Rfam family: Bacterial small subunit ribosomal RNA
Source: RNAcentral
AGAGUUUGAUCAUGGCUCAGGAUGAACGCUGGCGGUCUGCUUAACACAUGCAAGUCGAACGGACUCUUCGGAGUUAGUGGCGGACGGGUGAGUAACGCGUGAGAAUCUACCUUCAGGACGGAGACAACAGUUGGAAACGACUGCUAACCCCCGAUGAACCGAAAGGGCAAAUAUUUAUAGCCUGAAGAAGAGCUCGCGUCCGAUUAGCUAGUUGGAGAGGUAAAAGCCCACCAAGGCGACGAUCGGUAGCUGGUCUGAGAGGACGAUCAGCCACACUGGGACUGAGACACGGCCCAGACUCCUACGGGAGGCAGCAGUGGGGAAUUUUCCGCAAUGGGCGCAAGCCUGACGGAGCAAGACCGCGUGGGGGAGGAAGGCUCUUGGGUUGUAAACCCCUUUUCUCUGGGAAGAACAAAAUGACGGUACCUGAGAAUCAGCAUCGAUUUCCGU